RNAcentral lists this ribosomal RNA (1104 nucleotides) under Triticum aestivum (bread wheat). RNAcentral's name for it is "partial small subunit ribosomal RNA". The record is from RNAcentral. Lineage: Eukaryota; Viridiplantae; Streptophyta; Magnoliopsida; Poales; Poaceae.
AUGCUCAUAGGUACAAAAAAAAACAACAACACCUGCAUACUUAGGUUUGUUUGGUACACUUAUAUUUAUUCCAUCUAUCUUACACACACAAACAACUUAAUAGAAAAACACUAUUUGUGCCUUCUCAGACCAGUGUUCUUCGAUGAAGGCAGCAUAAAAAUUAUCCUCCCACAUACACUGCAUAAGUUGUGUCGGUGGCAUAUCAUGAAGAAGUACAAAGACCACCUCGCCUUGAUGUAUAAGGCGCACGAGAAACUCAAGGAUGACCUCAAUUCGGUGCUGGACCACCCACUAAUGCCGUCAGAAUUUGAACGAGCAUGGAAGGACCUCAUUCAGAGAUACAACUUGCAAAACAACGAAGUGAUGAAUUCGCUGUGGGAUGACAGGCACGAGUGGAUCUAGGCUUACUACAAGGAAAUUUUCUGUGGUCGGAUGACUUCCACAUAGAGAAGCGAGAGCAUGAACUGCAUACUGAAGAAAAACUUUGUCAAAGAGAAGCAUGAUCUCCAUCUGUUUGCUCAGCACGUGGGCAAGUGCAUUUAGACCAGGAAGGCAGUCGAGCCCACAGAGCCGAUACCAGAUGAGUCAGAGGUAAAGACAACAACCCAAUUUGGGUUCGAAGUUCAGCUAUCAAAAGUGUAUACAAGGGCAGUGUUUGUAGAUUUCAAAGAAACACUCUACCAUAGCACUGCAUUCAGAGUAGAACGGUGCCGUGAGAAGCCAACAGAGUAUCACGUACACCACUACAACAGAUCGGAUGCAUUUGACUGGGCAAGGCAUAAUUUCCAUGUUGUCGCCGAUAAAAAGAAAGGUGUCUACGAAUGUGAAUGCAAACUCUGGACACACACAAGGCUCUUUUGCGUCCAUGUGUUAUGCAUGCUUUCUCAUUUGAGAGUACUCCAGAUUCCUGAGGUGUACAUCAUGAAAAGAUACACCCGUAACGCAAGAUCAAGUGCAACGUUUUACAGGAGAUACUACGAACAAACAUCACCAGAUGGAAGCUCGCUUUUUUUCCAUAGAAAAUUGCUAACAGAAACAGCAAUGGACCUUGCAAACAGAGCGACAAGGUCCGACGCUGGGUGCCCAGAGCGUUGUCUGGUAUGA